RNAcentral lists this ribosomal RNA (1986 nucleotides) under human gut metagenome. RNAcentral describes it as "bacterial LSU rRNA". It matches the Rfam family "Bacterial large subunit ribosomal RNA", at positions 920 to 2925 of the family's 2925-position model. The record is from RNAcentral.
GCGGGGGCCACAAAGCCUACCAAACGCUAUCAAACUUCGAAUACCAUACAAUGCAGACCAUGGGAGUCAGUCCGCGAGAGAUAAGUUCCGCGGGCAAAAGGGGAACACCCCAGAUCAACCGCUAAGGUCCCCAAGUUCACGUUAAGUGGAGAAGGAUGUGGAAUUGCACAGACAACCAGGAUGUUGGCUCAGAAGCAGCCACACAUUUAAAGAGUGCGUAAUAGCUCACUGGUCGAGUGAUUGUGCGCCGAAGAUGUCCGGGGCUAAACGUGACACCGAAGCGAUGGGUGCAUCUGAAAGGAUGCGCGGUAGAGGAGCAAUGUGCAGAGGCAGAAGCCGUAUCGAGAGGCACGGUGGACACUGCACAAGAGAGAAUGCCGGUAUGAGUAGCGAGAGGCAUGCGAGAAACAUGCCCGUCGAAAGCCCAAGGUUUCCUGGGGAAGGUUCAUCCGCCCAGGGUAAGUCGGGGCCUAAGCCGAGGACGGAAGUCGUAGGCGAUGGACAGCAGGUGUAGAUUCCUGCACUACCGAUGGAAUGAAGCAGUGACACAGAAGGAUAACUCGAGCAGGGUGAUGGUCAACCCUGUGCAAGCAUCAAGGUUGGGUUGUAGUGAAGUACGCAAUCCUAUAAGCUGAGAUGUGAUGCGGACCGAAAUUUCAGUAGGGAAGCGAGUGAGUUCACGCUGGCGAGAAAAGCUGCUAGUACAUCCAAAGGUACCCGUACCGGAAACCGACGCAGGUGGGCGAGGAGAGAAUCCUGAGACGGACGGGAGAACUCUUGUUAAGGAACUCGGCAAAAUGACCCCGUAACUUCGGGAGAAGGGGUGCCUCGAAAGAGGCCGCAGAGAAUAGUCACAAGCGACUGUUUAGCAAAAACACAGGUAUCUGCGAAAGCGAGAGCUGACGUAUAGGUGCUGACGCCUGCCCGGUGCUGGAAGGUUAAGGGGAAGUGUUAGGGGAAACCCGAAGCAGAGAACCGAAGCCCCAGUAAACGGCGGCCGUAACUAUAACGGUCCUAAGGUAGCGAAAUUCCUUGUCGGGUAAGUUCCGACCCGCACGAAUGGCGUAACGACUUGUGAGCUGUCUCAACAGGAGGCCCGGUGAAAUUGAAGUAUGUGUGAAGAUGCACAUUACCCGCGACUGGACGGAAAGACCCCGUAGAGCUUUACUGUAACCUGACAUUGGAUCUUGAUAACGGAUGCACAGGAUAGGUGGGACGCUGGGAGACGAGGACUUUGGUUUUCGUGGAGCGGCCGUUGGGAUACCACUCUUCUGUUAUUGAGAUUCUAACCUCAAGCCGUGAGCCGGAUGAGAGACAGUGUCAGGCGGACAGUUUGACUGGGGCGGUCGCCUCCGAAAGAGUAACGGAGGCGCCCAAAGGUACCCUCAGAAUGGAUGGAAACCAUUCGAAGAGAGCAAAGUCAGAAGGGUGCUUGACUGCGAGACCAACAAGUCGAGCAGGUACGAAAGUAGGGCUUAGUGAUCCGGCGGUAAGAGAGUGGAAUUGCCGUCGCUCAACGGAUAAAAGCUACCUCGGGGAUAACAGGCUGAUCUCCCCCAAGAGUUCACAUCGACGGGGAGGUUUGGCACCUCGAUGUCGGCUCGUCGCAUCCUGGGGCUGAAGCAGGUCCCAAGGGUUUGGCUGUUCGCCAAUUAAAGCGGCACGCGAGCUGGGUUCAGAACGUCGUGAGACAGUUCGGUCCCUAUCCAUCGUGGGCGAAGGACACAUGAGAGGAGCUGCUCCUAGUACGAGAGGACCGGAGUGGACGCAUCACUGGUGCAACUGUUGUCGUGCCAACGGCACAGCAGGGAAGCGAAAUGCGGACGGGAUAAACGCUGAAGGCAUCUAAGCGUGAAGCCCACCUCAAGAAUAAGUGUCCCAUUCGAAAGAAGUAAGACCCCUGGAAGACUACCAGGUGAUAGGUCAUCGGUGAAAGAGUGGUAACAUUUGGAGCUUGAUGAUACUAAUCGGUCGAGGACUUGAUCU